Molecule: ribosomal RNA, 421 nt
Filed under: uncultured Planctomycetaceae bacterium
Lineage: Bacteria; Pseudomonadati; Planctomycetota; Planctomycetia; Planctomycetales; Planctomycetaceae
Description: partial 16S ribosomal RNA
Rfam family: Bacterial small subunit ribosomal RNA
Source: RNAcentral
UCGAGAAUCUUCGGCAAUGGACGAAAGUCUGACCGAGCGACGCCGCGUGUGUGAUGAAGGUCUUCGGAUUGUAAAACACUGUAAGUUAGGAGGAAAUGUAUGGUGUAGAGCCAUAUUUGACCUAUUUUCAAAGUAAGCUCGGGCUAAGUUCGUGCCAGCAGCCGCGGUAAGACGAACCGAGCAAACGUUAUUCGGAUUCACUGGGCUUAAAGGGUGCGUAGGCUGUUAGAUUAGUGGGGUGUGAAAUCCCUCAGCUCAACUGAGGAACUGCGCUUCAAACUGUCUGACUUGAGGAAGGUAGGGGUAAUCGGAACUUGCGGUGGAGCGGUGAAAUGCUUUGAUAUCGCAAGGAACACCAGUGGCGUAGGCGGAUUACUGGACCUUUUCUGACGCUGAGGCACGAAAGCUAGGGUAGCGAACG